CACACCCGAGUUUAGGAAGGUAAUAUUAUUAAAAUACGCGCCCAAAGCAACUAACGUAUUUGAAGCUAUGCGAGGGCCAUGGAGAUUCAACUAAAUGGCACGCCUCGAAUUCUAAGGAUAAACAAAAUUAAUUAAACGAGGGUCAUACAUACUCCUAGCGAUUAAAGUGAUAAAACAAAGAAGAACUAAAUAAAACAUGUUGAACCGAGUUUUACUUUUAAUUAAUAUUCAACAAUCCAUGACUCCUUAUUAUUAUGUUUCAAGAUCGGAUCUCCCAUGGCCAAACAACCAUUUAAGAUACAUAACAAUCAACCAAGAUCAAUCAUUCAACAUGUAAAAGCAUUUAAAAGAAGCUAUCAACUAAACAAAAUGAGUGGUCUUAAACAUGAGAACAAUCUUUGAUCUUUGAUUAACACCAUCCAUGGUAAAAAUCUGAUUCCAAUUUAAAUAUCAUUGGCCACCACCCACUUGAAAAAUUGGCAGUACCCUAUGCCCUUUUUAACAAAACUAAAGUUUCAUUCCAUUCCAGCAUAGGAGCCAUGGUCUAAUAUUUCAGCGAGAAUGCAAAUCCAGAUGAUUAAAACCAACAAAAAACUAUGAUGAACUAUAAAUUUCGGUCAAGUCACAACUAGAAAAUAUCAAGAUAAUCAUGGUAAAAAUAUCACCACAUAAGAAAUAAUAAAGAUAUCAGAAUGGACUUUUAUAGCUGCAAUGUGUUUUUGAAACAACGGGUAGAAAAAGAAAACUCCAAGCCAAAACUUUGAUUGACGAGCUCAACAGUCCGGACCUCGACGACCUUGAGCGGAAACUCAAAGUCUAACCUCGAGCACCAGCAGGGCUCGAAUCAGAAUCGACGUCGAACAAUCUCGAUCGACGACGAACUCGAAAACGGACAAAAGGGGUUCAAGGGGUCUUCAGCUGGUUUUUAUGGUGAGGAAGAUGACUGGAGUUCAGCCGGAUCUAGGUGGUCGCUGAUGGCGGUAGUUUUGUUUCAUCGAAGAAGAAGAAGAAACAGCCAUGGGGAGUUCUAUCGUUUUGGCUGAGGAAGGAGAUCGAGUUCGCUGGGGGAGGGUCUUGUAUGAAAAUCAGCGCCUAUCUUACGUCCUCGUGAAGAAGGCGAAGACGAGGGGGUGGGGUCGACGACGAGUCUUCUCCGGUGAGCUUGAAGUGGCCUGAUGCGAUCGCCGGUCUUGAAGAAGAAGUAGAUGAGCAGUGGAUCUCUUGUCUCUCGUUCAAGAAGAAGAAGCUCGAUGGGUGAGGGAUCUAUAUUUUUUGUUUCUUAAUCCUCAUGCUAUGCGCAGCUUUUUGCCCCUUUUCUUUUUGGUAGAUCUGAUCUCCUUCUCUCCUUUUAGGUGUUAGUACUAUUAUAUAGUAGUAGGGAUUAGGUUAGGGGUAUGAGCCUAGGAGUUAUGGGCUAGAAAAUUGGGCCAAAAACUGAAAAAAUGGACUACAAGAUUCAUAAUGACGGGAUAAACCAACCCAAAACUAAUUCCUCCUUCUAAAAUUAUAUACAAUUAUAAUAUAAAAAUAUAAAACUAAUUUUUAUUAAUUAAACUAAACUAUAUUAAAAAUGAAACUAUUUUGUAUUUUCAAGAUUAUAUAUAAAAUAAAAAUAAGCUACUAUUUUUGUAUAUUUUUAUUUAAAUUCAUGAAAGGUGCGUAAACUAAAAUAUUUUUUGUAAGUUUCAUUUCUUGUGAUAAAAUAAGGUAAAAGAGUAAAAAUGAGUUGAAAUAGCAAUAUUAGGCCUAAAUUAAAUAUUUACGUGCUAAAAUAUAAAAUAUUUUGGGGUGGGUCAAAAAUCACAUGUCUACAGCUGCCCCUCUUUGACUGGAAACGCGUAGAGUUUUCUGACAAAGACUGACUCGACAAGUUUUUGACCCGACCCUUAUUUAAGGAGACCAAAACUAAGAGAAAAGGGGAAUGUGACCGAGCCCUAGUAUCUGAGUUGUCUACAUAUCCUUGGCUAUAAAUAAAUCAGGCCACGUGUAGUUCAGAGCUAAGUAAGAUGAUGGAGUAUACCGAGGUGGAGAACCGAUCGAGGUGCCAUUCCGUCGAGGUUCCGGUCUGCGGUCCUAUUAUUACAUCAAAAUCAAAAAAUGAAAAAGACUAACUAAACCUGUCAACUAUGAGUUACAAAAUUCCUAUCUAUAAGUCUUCUGAAGCUUGAACUUGAGUCUUGAAUGGUUCUUCAUGGAGACUUUAGAUUUGAACCUUGGUGCUUGCUAGUUACAGGUGCUAGUUCAUUCUUCUUCAGCUUUUCAGAUCAAGACCGGACACACCAUGCUUGUGACAUCUUGUCUCAGCUUCUGCAUUUUGGAUUCACUUCUUUUUUUCUUUUUAUUUUUGUUUCUUUCUUUUUUUUCUUUUCUAUUUUGGAUUGAAAUUACUUCUGUUGAUCAUCUCGGACUGUUGACUUGCAUUCUUGCCGCGAGCUUCUGCCACUUCUAACUUGAGCUAUUUUCCUUUGAGACUUGAAGUGAUUUCCCUUGAAAUUCAAAUUGUUUUCCCUUGUUCUCCGGGUGGACGCCUAAUUGCUGAAACUUGAAUGUAUUCCCUUGUUCCCAGGUGAGCUCCCGAUUGCUGAAGUUUGAAUGUAUUUCCUUGUUCUCCAGGUGGGCGCCUGAUUGCUGAACUUGAAAAUGUAAUCCCUCGUUCUCCAGGUGGGCGCAUGAUUGCUGAACUUGAAAUGUAUUCUCUUGUUCUCCAGGUGGGCGCCUGAUUGCUGAAUCUUGAAAUGUAUUCCCUUGUUCUCCAGGUGGGUGCCU
This 2766-nucleotide long non-coding RNA is filed under the name Nicotiana tabacum (common tobacco). RNAcentral describes it as "long non-coding RNA (NTAB_LNC008284)". Lineage: Eukaryota; Viridiplantae; Streptophyta; Magnoliopsida; Solanales; Solanaceae. The record is from RNAcentral.